RNAcentral lists this small RNA (719 nucleotides) under Drosophila yakuba. RNAcentral's name for it is "GE28991". Lineage: Eukaryota; Metazoa; Arthropoda; Insecta; Diptera; Drosophilidae. The record is from RNAcentral.
AACCGUAAAAGAGAAAUGAAGGGCCAUAGGCAAGGAAGACGGGGAACGAAAACGUGGAAGAGACGGCGGGGAAUUUUCAUUUCAAAACUCAGAUCAAAUUGCUAAAUUAACAGCGAGACAAACGAAAGCGAGCGCCCUUAGAGGAACUUGUUUUGACUUCCUUCCCUUUCCCGCUUUCGGGCCCCCCAGAAAUCACAGCAAGCCAGAACGUUUGAACGCGAUGGAGAACGCAGAGUUAAACAAAUUUUAAACUGGUUGUUGAACUGGAAUCCGCGAAGAAAGAGAAGAGGGCAGCAAGCGCAAGGGGGUCCCUCUAUCAAGAUCAAAACAAAACGGUGUGCCAACAACUAUUCGCGGCAACAGAGGGUAAACAGAACAGGGAAAAAUCAAAUAGAAUAAAAAAUGAAAUCGGAAUCUUGUCUAAAAAACAUCGGGGCGAUAAGUCGUCGGUCGAGUGGCAACAAAAUAAACACAAAGAGGAAAAACAAAAUACAGCAAUUAAAAGAUUAACAAAGCACGGCGGCAGCAACAACAACUAACCGAGAAAUCAAAAGGAACAGAACGAAAAUGUUUUUUAUGCGUUUUAAAUUUCCCAAGCGAUAGAACAGCAUACAAAAGUGCGUAAAAACACAAUUGACCUUCAAAAAUUUUUUGCGCAAAAUAUAAAAACAAUGUGAUUAUCGCCCCGAUCCGAUGCAAUAAAAACAUUACCUUUUUCA